CUCCCUUCGGGGAGCAAGUAGAGUGGCGCACGGGUGAGUAACACGUAGGUAAUCUACCUUUGGAUGGGGAAUAACAACCGGAAACGGUUGCUAAUACCGCAUAAUGCAGCGGCACCUAAUGGUGACAGUUGUUAAAGCGGGGGAUCGCAAGACCUCGCGUCUGAAGAGGAGCCUGCGGCAGAUUAGCUAGUUGGUAAGGUAACGGCUUACCAAGGCGAUGAUCUGUAGCCGGCCUGAGAGGGCGGUCGGCCACACUGACACUGACAUACGGGUCAGACUCCUACGGGAGGCAGCAGUCGGGAAUUUUGGGCAAUGGGCGAAAGCCUGACCCAGCAACGCCGCGUGAAGGAUGAAAUCCCUCGGGAUGUAAACUUCGCAAGAACGGGAAGAAUAAGUCUGCGCAAAUAUCGCAGAUGAUGACGGUACCGUUUGUAAGCUCCGGCUAACUCCGUGCCAGCAGCCGCGGUAAUACGGGGGGAGCAAGCGUUGUUCGGAUUUACUGGGCGUAAAGGGCGCGUAGGCGGCCACCGCAAGUCGACUGUGAAAUCUCCGGGCUUAACCCGGAACGGUCAGCCGAUACUGCGGGGCUAGAGUGCAGAAGGGGCAACUGGAAUUCUCGGUGUAGCGGUGAAAUGCGUAGAUAUCGAGAGGAACACCUGCGGCGAAGGCGGGUUGCUGGGCUGACACUGACGCUGAGGCGCGAAAGCUAGGGGAGCGAACGGGAUUAGAUACCCCGGUAGUCCUAGCCCUAAACGAUGAAUGCUUGGUGUCUGGGGUUUUAUAGUCCCCGGGUGCCGUCG
Molecule: ribosomal RNA, 800 nt
Filed under: uncultured Bacillota bacterium
Lineage: Bacteria; Bacillati; Bacillota
Description: bacterial SSU rRNA
Rfam family: Bacterial small subunit ribosomal RNA
Source: RNAcentral